RNAcentral lists this ribosomal RNA (2156 nucleotides) under Microvelia americana. RNAcentral's name for it is "partial 12S ribosomal RNA". The stretch from base 1916 to 2075 matches the Rfam family "Archaeal large subunit ribosomal RNA", at positions 2544 to 2703 of the family's 2987-position model. Lineage: Eukaryota; Metazoa; Arthropoda; Insecta; Hemiptera; Veliidae. The record is from RNAcentral.
UACUGCCCUCUUUUUAUUGUUUAUAUUUUAAAGAAGUUAGGGAGGGGGAGGUACUCCUUUUGUUCCAUUAUUUCUUAAUUUUGUUUUAAUUUAAGUUUGAUUCUUGCUUUAUUAUUUGAAUUUUGAAUCAUUUUAUAUGUAAGUUUUUCUUUUUUUCUAAAUGAUUUUUUAUCAGUAUUUAAUUUUAGUUUUUGUUUUUUGACAAAACUAGGGUUUUAAUAUUUAACUAACAAAAAUUGUGCCAGCAGUUGCGGUUAUACAAUUAGUUAAAUUAAAUAUUUUUGGUUUUAUAUUAUUUCUUUAUUUUAUAAUUUAAUUUAAUAUUUUAAGGUGAAAUUUUGAUAUUAUAUAAUUUUAUUGGUUGAUUAUUAGAUAUAUGAAAACUAUUAAUAAACUAGGAUUAGAUACCCUAUUAUAAUAGUUGUAAAUUUGCUUUAAUAUUAAUAGUUAUGAUCUUUAAAUUAAAAGAAUUUGGCGGUUAUUUAAUCUUUCUAGAGGAACCUGUCAUGUAAUUGAUAAUCCACGAUUGAUUUUACUUUUAUUUAACUUACAUAUCGCUGUCAUUGAAUGUUUUAUAAGAAUUUAAUUUUCUCCAAUUUUUAUGAAUAUAAUGUUAGGUCAAGAUGUAGUAAUAUAAAAGAAUGGAUGGGUUACAAUUUUUAUACAAAUGGAUUAGUAAUUGUAAUUUUACUAUAAAAUUGGAUUUAGGUGUAAUUUUUAAUAAAUAUUAAUUUUGAUUUUAGUUCUAAAUAAUGUACACAUCGCCCGUCGCUCUCAUUAUUAAGUUGGGAUAAGUCGUAACAAAGUAGUCCUACCGGAAGGUGGGUCUGGAUAUUUCAAGUUAAUUCAUUAAGUGAAGUUAUUAUUUACAUUAAUAAAUUUGUUGUGCAAUUCAAUAUAACUUGAAAUAAUUAUCUAAUUUUUAUUUUUUUUCUCAUUUUUUAAAAAAAUUAUUUUGUUUUUUAGUAUUUUUUGAAUUAAUAUAUUUUUAUUAUAGUUUAUUUUACUGUAAAGGAUUUAUUUAUAUUUUGUUUAAGUAUUUUUUGUUUAAUGUACCUUUUGCAUCAGGGUUUAUCAAAUUAAUAAAAUUAUUUUAUUUUCUCGAAAUUUUGGGAUUUAAACUUUAAUGAUUUUUAUUGUAACAAAAAUAUUUUUAAUUAUGGUUUAGAUGUUAUAUGCUUUUCAUCCAAAAUGAUAUCUAGUUUAUUGAUAAAUGAAUUUAAUUCAUUCUUAAAAAGCUUAUUUUACUUUAAUUAUUUUAUGUUUUUUAGGUUAAAUUCGAUAGGGAUAAGCUUAUCUUAUUUUUUAAAACUUUUUUUUAUUAAGAUUUCUAAUAGGAUUGAAAAUUUCUAUUUUUUAUUUUUUUAUAAUUAUAUUUCUUUUUUUAUUAUUUUUUAUCGUUUAAUUUUUUAUCAUUAUUUUUUAUUUUAAUUUAUUUUUUUUCUAAUAAUGAUAAAAUUAGUAAUUUUUAUAAUUUUAAAAUAGUAACUCGGCAAAAUUAAUUUUCACCUGUUUAACAAAAACAUGGUCUUUCGUUUUAUAUAUAAGAUCAGGCCUGCCCAUUGAUUUUUGAAAAUUAAAAGGCUGCGGUAUUUUAACUGUACUAAGGUAGCAUAAUCAUUUGUCUUUUAAUUGAAGGCUAGUAUGAAUGGUUUGAUGAAAAAUUAACUUUCUUUUUUAAAUUAUUACGAACUUAAUUUUUUAGUUAAAAAGCUAAAAUUUUUUUAUAGGACGAGAAGACCCUAUAGAAGUUUACUUUUUAUAGUAAAAUUGAAUUUUAGUUUAUAUAUUUUUUUUAUAAAUUAAAAGUUUUGUUGGGGUGAUAUUAAAAUUUAUUUAACUUUUAAUUAUUAUUUCAUUUAUUUAUGUUUUAUUGAUCCAUAUUAUUUUGAUUAAAAGAUUAACUUACCUUAGGGAUAACAGCGUAAUUUUUUUGGAGAGUUCAUAUCGAUAAAAAAGCUUGCGACCUCGAUGUUGAAUUAAGAUUAGAUUUGGGGGUAAAAUUUCAAUUUUCUUGGUCUGUUCGACCAUUAAAUUCUUACAUGAUUUGAGUUCAGACCGGCGUGAGCCAGGUCGGUUUCUAUCUUUAAAAUUUUUAUAUAAUUUAGUACGAGAGGACCAAUUAUAUUAAUAAUAUUAUUUAUAUUGUUUAAAAC